This 460-nucleotide ribosomal RNA is filed under the name uncultured bacterium. RNAcentral describes it as "partial 16S ribosomal RNA". It matches the Rfam family "Bacterial small subunit ribosomal RNA", at positions 338 to 795 of the family's 1533-position model. The record is from RNAcentral.
CCUACGGGUGACUGCAGUGAGGAAUAUUGGUCAAUGGGCGCAAGCCUGAACCAGCCAAGUCGCGUGAGGGAUGACGGUCCUAUGGAUUGUAAACCUCUUUUGUCGGGGAGCAAGGCCCGCCACGUGUGGCGGGAAGGAGAGUACCCGACGAAAAAGCAUCGGCUAACACCGUGCCAGCAGCCGCGGUAAUACGGAGGAUGCGAGGGUUAUCCGGAUUUAUUGGGUUAAAGGGGUGCGUAGGCGGAAGGUUAAGGCGGCGGUCAAAUGGCGGUGCUCAACACCGGCCUGCCGUUGAAACUGGUCUUAGUGAGUGAGCGAGAGGUAUGCGGAAUGCGUGGUGUAGCGGUGAAAUGCAUAGAUAUCACGCAGAACUCCGAUUGCGAAGGCAGCAUACCGGCGCUCAACUGACGCUGAGGCACGAAAGCGUGGGGAUCGAACAGGAUUAGAUACCCGGGUAGUC